ACGCUGGCGGCAGGCUUAACACAUGCAAGUCGAACGGUAACAGGAGAAAGCUUGCUUUCUUGCUGACGAGUGGCGGCCGGGUGAGUAAUGCUUGGGAAUCUGGCUUAUGGAGGGGGAUAACGACGGGAAACUGUCGCUAAUACCGCGUAGAGUCGAGAGACGAAAGUGCGGGACCGCAAGGCCGCAUGCCAUAGGAUGAGCCCAAGUGGGAUUAGGUAGUUGGUGGGGUAAUAGCCUACCAAGCCGACGAUCUCUAGCUGGUCUGAGAGGAUGACCAGCCACACCGGGACUGAGACACGGCCCGGACUCCUACGGGAGGCAGCAGUGGGGAAUAUUGCGCAAUGGGGGCAACCCUGACGCAGCCAUGCCGCGUGAAUGAAGAAGGCCUUCGGGUUGUAAAGUUCUUUCGGUAUUGAGGAAGGUUGUUGUGUUAAUAGCACGACAAAUUGACGUUAAAUACAGAAGAAGCACCGGCUAACUCCGUGCCAGCAGCCGCGGUAAUACGGAGGGUGCGAGCGUUAAUCGGAAUAACUGGGCGUAAAGGGCACGCAGGCGGACUUUUAAGUGAGGUGUGAAAUCCCCGGGCUUAACCUGGGAAUUGCAUUUCAGACUGGGAGUCUAGAGUACUUUAGGGAGGGGUAGAAUUCCACGUGUAGCGGUGAAAUGCGUAGAGAUGUGGAGGAAUACCGAAGGCGAAGGCAGCCCCUUGGGAAUGUACUGACGCUCAUGUGCGAAAGCGUGGGGAGCAAACAGGAUUAGAUACCCUGGUAGUCCACGCUGUAAACGCUGUCGAUUUGGGGAUUGGGCUUUAAGCUUGGUGCCCGAAGCUAACGUGAUAAAUCGACCGCCUGGGGAGUACGGCCGCAAGGUUAAAACUCAAAUGAAUUGACGGGGGCCCGCACAAGCGGUGGAGCAUGUGG
This 920-nucleotide ribosomal RNA is filed under the name uncultured bacterium. Its description in RNAcentral is "bacterial SSU rRNA". It matches the Rfam family "Bacterial small subunit ribosomal RNA", at positions 33 to 944 of the family's 1533-position model. The record is from RNAcentral.